Molecule: ribosomal RNA, 499 nt
Filed under: uncultured bacterium
Lineage: Bacteria
Description: bacterial SSU rRNA
Rfam family: Bacterial small subunit ribosomal RNA
Source: RNAcentral
GAGUUUGAUCAUGGCUCAGGAUGAACGCUAGCGGCAGGCUUAACACAUGCAAGUCGAGGGGUAGUUACUUUCGGGUAAUGAGACCGGCGCACGGGUGCGUAACGCGUAUGCAAUCUACCUUUUACAGAGGGAUAGCCCAGAGAAAUUUGGAUUAAUACCUCAUAGUAUAACGACUCCGCAUGGAGAUGUUAUUAAAGUUCCAACGGUAAAAGAUGAGCAUGCGUCCCAUUAGUUAGUUGGUAAGGUAACGGCUUACCAAGACGAUGAUGGGUAGGGGUCCUGAGAGGGAGAUCCCCCACACUGGUACUGAGACACGGACCAGACUCCUACGGGAGGCAGCAGUGAGGAAUAUUGGACAAUGGGCGCAAGCCUGAUCCAGCCAUGCCGCGUGCAGGAAGAAGCAUCUAUGGUGUGUAAACUGCUUUUAUACAGGAAGAAACACUCCCUCGUGAGGGAGCUUGACGGUACUGUAAGAUUAAGGACCGGCUAACUCCGUGCC